GAAAUCGUGAAUUUUGUGCCACUGACGGGCUGAGUGUGUGCUUGUGUGCGUGUGUGGUGUUUGUUUACAAAAAUACAAACGCAGCUACCUGUCGGUUUUAGAUUUUUUCAUUAGAAAACUCAGUGUCAAAGAGAAUAUGAACUCAAGUCAGUUACCAUGGCAAGUGGAAAUAGUGAAGAUGCUAAAAUUGGCUCGGAUUAUGGGCAGUAUUGCUUGGAAAAUAUUCCUGCUGCUCAAGCAAAUCAAUUUGAAUUUGGAAAAGGAUAUGAUGUAUCCUUUUUUCAAGAUAUCAGGGAAAAAUAUCAAGGAAGAAAGAACAACAAUUGAAGGAGAACUCAACAUCUAACCCUUGUUCUAGGCAUUCCAAGAUAUCCCACCCGCCCAGCACUUUGGUUGGAUUUCAAGAAGCGCAAAGGGACCUGCAGCUCGAGGCGUACUUCUAUACAUGAUAUAAAAACAAAAAUAGCUAUAGAAGAUGGCAUGGAUCAUUUUACACUUUCAGCAUCCAAAAACACAAAGGAGUGGUCUACUGAUGUUGGUGGGUAUGGAAACCUUGCCAAUGAAUUCAUGCAAACUCCAGAGUGCCAUGCUGCAGUAGAUACAUGGACUAGCAUCGUAAGAAAACACCAAUUGGCGAGAGAGAAAGAUCCAGAAUGGAUUGCCCACCACAAGGAAAGCGAGAUCUAACGCAAAAAAAACGCGUGGAAACAAUGUAUGGCAAAACUUUAGGUCGUUCGACUUCAAUACGGACGGAGGCCGCAACUGCAAUUGCCAGUCAUCAAAAUAAUGGAUUCGAAAUGAUCAGAGACUUAGAUGGAGAUGUGGCCCGAUUUAGUACCCCUUCUCCUAACGAACAUGAUGUAUUGCUAGAAAGUCGUGAUCCUGGUCAUCAACAAGUAUUGCCUGAUGUUCAUGAAGAAAAUGGAUCGCAUCCAGAAACUUGGCCUAAAAAUUUUCAAUCCGCUGGAACUGAUAUUCUUGAUUCAGGGAGUGAGCAGUCUGUUUCAAAUAUUACUACGCGACCGAUGGCAACUUGUGUAGCUAUCUAUGGGUGUGAUUCAUCGAGACCGAAUUUCAGUAGGCCAAGUGGUGAGCUAGUUGGACCAACUACCACCACAGUUCCAAAUGCUUCAGGAAGCGAUGGUUACGCUUCUGCUCGCGGCAAUGUUCCACGAAAUUAACCCGCUCCAAUGCUGAUACCUACUUUAUCAUCGACCUCGUCUGAUUCUACCCAAAUUCCUUCCGUUUCUGCCAAGCCUGGGAGAUGCCCUCCAAGUGGCCGUGGUGUCACUGGCGCAAAAGGACGCAAUGGCUCGAAAAUCCUUGGUAGUUCUGCGGAGCGCCUAAUUGUGCACCCGUUAAGUGGUAUUAGUAGUAUAGGUACAGAAAAUAAUGCAAGCUCUCAGCAGGCAAAAAACAUGUUUAUUGUAGCCUACUGCUACCAGUCGACGUACCAGGCCCUGAAACCUAAUUCCAACCCACCAGAAUAUUACUUCAUAACAAGAGGAACGUUUCCACCCCAGUGAGCACGAACCAUAGGACUUCCGGAAGCGCCUCGCAUGGCUAAGUUUUAGAGACGGUUUUACUGCAAAGCAUGUAACUUACCCGUUUGCUCACCAAAGUGUUCAAAGAAUUUCUUUUACGGUGUGACAUGAUUUUAGUUUUUUUUACCAAUCAAGAUUUCAAACCAACCCAACAGUUGCAAGCUGAAGCUGUUUAUAUGUGAAUGUUGUACUUCUGUACUUUUUUAUAACUGCCAGAGCAAAGAAAAAGCUUUGUUUUAAUGUAAACAAGACACUAAGCAAGUUUUAACGUCACCAUUCUCUUGCCCUAUGUUUACGCUGUCGUCCGUCCAGCGGCGAAGUAAAAGGUAGAAGACCACAAUGCAUUCAAGAAGAUUUUAUGUAAAGAUACCGGCUGUCUGUUCAUACAAAUCGGAAGAAAAUUAAACAAAGAUAACACACUAAGCCCAGACAAGAAGAAAAAAAUGUACACUGGCGCUUGCUUUUGCGAAGGACUCGCCGGGCAGUGACGGGAUUAAUGAUGAACAUGUCUUAAGGGUGAUGACGAAGCCAUGGUAGAUUUUAAACCAACCAGUACAACCAGAAAGAAAG
Molecule: unclassified non-coding RNA, 2114 nt
Filed under: Daphnia magna
Lineage: Eukaryota; Metazoa; Arthropoda; Branchiopoda; Diplostraca; Daphniidae
Description: uncharacterized LOC123472405, transcript variant X7
Source: RNAcentral